CAGACAGACAGGGGGAGCAAGAUGGAAUCACAGACCCGGGUCCUCAUUUCCCUGCUGCUCUGGAUAUCUGGUACCUGUGGGGACAUUGUGAUGACCCAGUCUCCAUCCUCCCUGGCUGUGUCAGCAGGAGAGACAGUCACUAUAAACUGCAAGUCCAGUCAGAGUCUUUUUUGGAGUGGAAGCCAAAAGAACUACUUGGCCUGGUACCAGCAGAAACCAGGGCAGUCUCCUAAACUGCUGAUCUACUAUGCAUCCACUAGGGAAUCUGGUGUCCCUGAUCGAUUCAUAGGCAGUGGGUCUGGGACAGACUUCACUCUGACCAUCAGCAGUGUGCAGGCUGAAGACCUGGCUGUUUAUUACUGUCAGCAUCAUUAUAACAGCCCAAUCACAUUCACUGGGGGUUCAGUCGGGCUCUAUCAUUCCAGUCGUGGUGAGUAUGGAUUCCGAAAGUAG
Non-coding RNA from Rattus rattus (black rat), 453 nucleotides. The record is from the annotation of a RefSeq genome assembly. NCBI's taxonomy places the organism in Eukaryota, Metazoa, Chordata, Mammalia, Rodentia, Muridae.